Galleria mellonella (greater wax moth) is the source of this 731-nucleotide long non-coding RNA. RefSeq lists it as uncharacterized. The record is from RefSeq and is a predicted model, not a curated record. The transcript is spliced from 2 exons. Lineage: Eukaryota; Metazoa; Arthropoda; Insecta; Lepidoptera; Pyralidae.
CGGACCACCGCCGGCCACCGGCAAUUUAUUUAUCAAUAGGUAUCCCAGUACGAAACGGCGAACUAAACCAGUUUCGUGUUCUUUAAUUGGCUGAAACCGUUACAGAAUACCAAACCAGCCUACACACACGGCGCACAAUGUUGUUAUAAACUUAUAUUUAUAUCUAAAGAAUACCGAGCGUCCAUUUACGCUAACCUGACCAAUUCGCAAUGCCAAACAAGUUCGAAAUUCGAAUAUUUACUUGUGGAACAUGGCGGAGCGGCAACGUGGCACGUUCUCGUUCAGCGCGCAGCGCGGCAACGUCGCACCGCCAUUUCGCCACCGAGUAAAUAAAUAUCCAACAGCAGAGUCCAAGCUUCAAUCAUAAUGUCACGAGUGGGGAAAAAUAACCUAACAAUUUUGAUUGAUUAUCACAAUACGAGAGGGAAAAAUAUAUGAAUAUUCUGUUUCAUUAUUUCUAUUAAUAUCCAAACUUAUAUAUUUUAAUUAGUUCAGUUAAUUAGUAAAUCGAUUACCACGGUGUGUUUACGUGCUUGAAGUCGUCCCUGAACCUGAUAUCUAAGCGUUACCGCCAAAUAACGUAACCAAAUGUUAUUUGAUUGACGAUCUUCUGUAAAGACAAAGAGUAGAGAUAGUACGAGUGAGCUCAAGCGCAUCUGCGGUGCGAGCGGACUCUACACAACUUCUUUAUGGCUUAAUAAACGAAAUAAAUCCAGUUUUUAUAAUAUUAA